AACGAACGCUGGCGGCAUGCCUAACACAUGCAAGUCGAACGAGACCUUCGGGUUUAGUGGCGCACGGGUGCGUAACGCCUGGGAACUUGCCCUUAGGUUCGGAAUAACUCCCCGAAAGGGGUGCUAAUACCGGAUAAUGUCUUCGGACCAAAGAUUUAGCGCCUUUGGAUGGGCCCGCGUUGGAUUAGCUAGUUGGUAGUGUAAAAGCCUACCAACGCGACGAUCCAUAGCUGGUCUGAGAGGAUGAUCAGCCACACUGGGACUGAGACACGGCCCAGACUCCUACGGAGGGCAGCAGUGGGGAAUAUUGGGCGAUGGGCCCUAGCCUGAUCCAGCAGUGACGCGUGAGUGAUGAAGGCCUUAGGGUUGUAAAGCUCUUUUACCCGGGAUGAUAAUGACCGUACCGGGAGAAUAAGCUACGGCUAACUCCGUG
Molecule: ribosomal RNA, 433 nt
Filed under: uncultured bacterium
Lineage: Bacteria
Description: partial 16S ribosomal RNA
Rfam family: Bacterial small subunit ribosomal RNA
Source: RNAcentral